Long non-coding RNA from Neopsephotus bourkii (Bourke's parrot), 887 nucleotides. RefSeq lists it as uncharacterized. The record is from RefSeq and is a predicted model, not a curated record. NCBI's taxonomy places the organism in Eukaryota, Metazoa, Chordata, Aves, Psittaciformes, Psittacidae. The transcript has 2 exons.
UUUCACCUGAAACCCCAGUGGGAUGGAGGCUGGAUGUGGGUGCUGCAGACGUUCUGCAGACCCUGCUUCCCACAGGAUGUCUGUGAGCAGCCUCCUGCUGUUGUGUGGCAGCGGCAGCAUAGCUGGGUCAGGCUUUGCAGAGCUUUGCUGGGUAAGGCAGUGGAGUGCAGCCAUGUCCCCUGUAUGGGAUGAAGGGGGAUGAGGCUGUUGCUGUGCGCCAUGCAGCUCUCGGACGAGGACACUGGGGCUGACACGCUACUCUUGAAAACUGGUACUAAAAUGACUGCUUUAUUUCAGGCAGGGUGCUGCUUACAGCACCCACAUCAGGAGGGGCACAGGAAAGCUGCAGUGUAAGUGCCGAGCCUGGGCUGCUGCUGGUGUAAGCCUGGAGAUCUUUGCUGGAGGAAUGAAGAACCAGUGCAAUGAAACUGGCAUCCUGAACUGAUACAACUCAGAAAGGUAAGCCCUGGCGGCAGCAUAUCUUAGAGGAGCAUCCCACAGCUUGUGCCACACUGACAAGAGGCCAUUGUGCAAUGUCUGCUCUAGUGCCUGACCACCAAGUGACAGCCAUGAACAAGCUGCUUUGCACAACAAAGAAAAUCCUGUGGAAACCAUUCUAGAAGCCUGAAGGAGGACUGAGACUAGAGAUAUAAUGAUUUCAGUGUGUACAACAGAUGGAGACUUCAGAGCAUGGAGCCACUAAUCUAUGGAUUACAGAUUCCCUAAUUAUAGACUGACACUUACCAUUUCUGAGAGGCAGCAUCAGCCAAAGGAGGGACAAAAUCCAAAAGCCAACCUUGACAUUGACUAUAAUAUUAAUCCCAGCAUGAUCCUAUCUUAUUGACUCCUGGGCUUGGAGUAAAUAAAAACUCAUUACUCCUGCUACU